AUCCAGUUGACGAGUCCCAAAUAGGACGAAACACACAUGAAACUGGAU
Schistosoma rodhaini is the source of this 48-nucleotide non-coding RNA. The record is from Rfam. NCBI's taxonomy places the organism in Eukaryota, Metazoa, Platyhelminthes, Trematoda, Strigeidida, Schistosomatidae.